This 2824-nucleotide long non-coding RNA is filed under the name Strongylocentrotus purpuratus (purple sea urchin). Its description in RNAcentral is "uncharacterized LOC752243". Lineage: Eukaryota; Metazoa; Echinodermata; Echinoidea; Camarodonta; Strongylocentrotidae. The record is from RNAcentral.
GUAUGUUAAUUGCAAGAUCAUCACAGUGACGUCAUACCAACACUUAGCCAGUGAAGCGUUCAUCUUGCUGAGUUCGCUCCUCCCCGUCGAUGAUAUCCAUAUAAGUAUUCCAACACCUCACUUCAAGAACCCCUUCGACAUCAGCAUCCCGCCACACCGUAUUCUCUCACCGCUCAACACCAAUUUGUCAAAACUCUUGAAUUCUCCCCCAGAACAUUGGUAAGCUUGAUCGAGAAAGGGCUCUUUUCCCUCUUCUUCCAUUCUCUUUGACACGACUCAUUUUGAUUUGGUGUGAUGGUUUAGCUAAAUAAUAUCGGUGGCUUCUGGUAGCUCUACAGUGGAAUUUCGGCUUGCUAACAUUUUUCUUACUGAAUAGAUACCGAACUGUAUAUAAGCAUUAAGGUAUUAGAAACAAUUUUUCUCGAACUUUCCCCCUUUCUGGUGCGUAAAGACAGGGAAAGUCUCUGCACUGCAUCACGGGUUGGAGAUUCGCAACUUCUGUGCCUGUAAGUUGGUGAAGAAAACACAAUGCUGUCGUAUGGACAGGUUGGAUUUGUUGCAGUGUCUAUGCUGUUUCUACUACAGAUAGUUACUGGUCUCAACAUUCAUAGAUUAACCCAAUCUCAGGAUCCAGUGCAAUCAGCAGCAGAGCAAGAGAUUGCCCACUUACUCCAACGUUAUCCAGAACAACAGGUCCUUGACAGAAAUAAGCGAUUUCCCAAAUUUUUGACGUGUGAAACAGACGACGACUGCGCAAGGUUAGAUCGGCCGGCUUGCUGCGCAAAAUCAGUCAUGGGUCCAUUCUGGGUGUGUAAAGCUUUGGGAGAACUCAACGCUGCUUGUAAUUCCUAUAGUAUGCCCCAUAUGUGGGGCGGACAGAGGAAUGGGCACUUCUGUCCUUGUAAGCAGCAUCUAGCAUGUGUAGGACAUAGACGAGGAGGGUGCGAUCUAAUAAGUGAUAAGUAGCUUGGUGUGUCCAUGGAGAUGGUGCACAUGAAAAGAGUCCUUUGUGACACAGAACCUUUGAAAAAAUAAAAAUGUGAAAUAAAAAAAAACAAUUCAGUGUGAAAUCGAUUUGAUAUAUUGGUUAGUUUAUCAACUUUAUGUUGAUAAGAUACGAAAAAUUAGGCUUCCUUUUAAGAUUUAAAAUAGAAUGAACGGCCCAGCAAUAUAUUUAAUAAGGUGAUAACACAUUGAUUAGGGUAUCAGGAGUUAUUUUUGGUCUCAGUUAUAGAAAUUCAAAUUAUUGAUAAUGAAUUUCAUAAAUGUUUAGCUCAUGAAAAUAUACGAAAUGUAUUCAUUUAGUCAAUGAAUAAAAUCUUCAAUAUAAUAAAGUAUCAAUCAAUAAUAGUGACCUUCGUAAAUAUUGGCAUUUAAAAAGUCUAAAAUAUUAUGUACAUUGGUGUUAUUAUUUUCUUAAAUAUUGUUUGAUUCCCACCAUGCGAUCAUACUCAAAAUGGAAUAUAGUCUAAAUCAUAGAAGAUGCAUUCAUAGCAAUCCGUUUAUAGCACUCUAAUUACUGAUCAUCUUGAAUUUUUAUGUCUAUUUCGUUGUUGUUGUUGUCAUUGAUUUUAAUUCAUUAAAUUGAAUGUAAAGUGAGCUCCAAUAGAUAUAUCGCGAGAACAUUCCAUUUAAUUUCAAGCAUUUUGAAUUGGUAUUAGGGUAAUGUCAUGGCAUAACAUUAAGCAAUGUAAAUAAUGAAAUACACACACUGUACCUAGGAGAGAGUGGCAUGCAUAUGAAUCAUUUUAUGAAAUAAGAAGUUCAAUACAAACUGUUAUUACUUCUGUUAUAUUAGCACUUGAAUAUUUAUCAUUUUUUAUAUUCAGCUCUAGUAAUUAUUUCCAGAGGAAAUAAGCAAGUCCUACCAUGCUCAAACAUUACUUACGUCAUGGUUGUUGUUCUACCACUCAUUGAAAAAUAAAAGUAAUUAUAAAGAUGUGUACUAUAGUUAUUUUAAUUAACGCCACCAUCGCCCAAAUAUAGGCUUUUGAAACUGUGUAAAUCCGACUGUGUCGUUCAUCUAUGCUAUCAAAAGAUAUUUAACUAUAUCCCCGUUUCAUAUAUUCAUAUCCAUCACCGAGACGUUGGAUUCUAAAAAAAAGAACAUAAUUCUCCUGACUCGGGUAUGAGAACGUUUAUUGUCCACGUUCUUGAUGAGUUUUCAUGUAAUUACUAGCUGUAAGGAUUUAAACAAAUCCGCCUUUAUCCUGUCUUUAUGAUUCAAAUAAAGGUAUAGAAGCAGAAUAAGGAGGGGCAGUCUGAGAAAACUCUUUUCUUUGUAGUCCACCUCAAUAGCAAUUAUAUCCCAAAAUUAUUUCAACAAAAGUAACCCCGUUUUAUCUAUAAUUUCACCAACACUGUUCAUAACAUGUAGUACAAUACCAAGCCAGAAUUGUUGCCAUCUUCAAAAGUCUUUACUACGACUACAACAAUAAUUGCCUGUCUAUUCAUGAAAUCUACAAUUAGGCCUUAUAUUAACCAAUAUUUUGUUAGUACAUGUUAGUACAGAAGGAAAAAUAAUUGACAUAAAUUAUAGCAUCUGUAUCUUUUUCUGAAUAUAUGCACUUUUUUUUCAAUUAAAUUAUUUUGAUACGCUUGAAUAUCAAUCAUGGUAAAACAAAGUUCGCAUCAUGAUGAUAACAAACGUAUUUUCUUUAUGUUGCGUGUUCUGUAUUAUAUUGCUUUAAAAAAAUAUUUAUUUCUAGUCGAUUGAAAUUAAAGUUUAGAUGUAUAUUUAUGCACCCGGGCGACUUCUGUCUAUAUUCUGUUCCUAUUCAGCGUUCGGUGAAUGCCGUUGUAUUAAAAAAUAGAAUCUACUGCA